UUUUUGCAAAAGGGAUUGAAGUGGCAUCCUUUUUUGUGAUUAACAACUACCUAUUUAAGAAGACUGCUGUUUCUUAAAAAACAAUGGGCUUUAUUAUAAAAACCACCAUAAACAAAAAAGAUAUAACGGAAAGCCCGGUGCGGC
RNAcentral lists this small RNA (144 nucleotides) under Siansivirga zeaxanthinifaciens CC-SAMT-1. RNAcentral describes it as "Flavo-1 RNA". It matches the Rfam family "Flavo-1 RNA". Lineage: Bacteria; Pseudomonadati; Bacteroidota; Flavobacteriia; Flavobacteriales; Flavobacteriaceae. The record is from Rfam by way of RNAcentral.